This is a long non-coding RNA of Papaver somniferum (opium poppy), 1439 nucleotides long. RefSeq lists it as uncharacterized. Lineage: Eukaryota; Viridiplantae; Streptophyta; Magnoliopsida; Ranunculales; Papaveraceae. The transcript is spliced from 5 exons. The record is from RefSeq and is a predicted model, not a curated record.
CCUCCUCCUUCUUCUUCUUCUUCUUCUACCAUUUUCGUCCACUUAGAGAUCACCUUACGGAUUAUAGGAACACCUCAUCUUUUGAGGUACAAUUCACUCAUUGUUUUCAUAUGUUUCAAUUCUCAUCUUGAUUAUAAAAAUCACCGUCUUUGAUAUCAAUCUACCCAUGAGGUUGUAAUUUCUGAAUCAGACUCCAGGCUACAUCCCAAACGUAAAUAGUACUAGGUGAAGAUCCGUGUUAAAGUAGCGGAAAAGUAUCUUAUUUGAUCUCUUUCAGUGGGUCUGAAAUGGCUAGGUCUUCUGCAUCAUUCUGGAUAUCAGGGGGUGAAUUGAUUAAGGUAAAUCCCCAGAAAGUAUUUACUUAGUCUAGGUUGAGUACCAUCUACAUAAAUUGGUAAAAUAUUCUCCUCACAUAUGAAAUAUCGAUGGGUCCUUUUGGUUCUUUUUUGAAUUAGAUUCAAUUUAAACACCUGUUUCACCAUCAAUCGAUCUUCCCCAGUUUAGUUGCAAGUCAUUUUUGGUUAUAUUAGUUUCUAGGGCUUGAGUUACUUGGGUUUUGAUUGUUUUUCUUGAUAAAACUAUGGGCCCAUUGUUUUCUUUGGGGAGCAAUACAAGAACGACAUCAGGAAACAAUACAAUAAGAAUUCAGGUUCUAAAUGGCGUCCAUAAGAAUUGGUGUGUUUUCAUAUUGUCGGCAGGACCCAAUGCAGUUAAAGCAACAGAAAGAACAUAAACAAAAACAUCAACCAAAUGGUGGAGUAAUUUUAUUUAUUUCCCUUACGUAUCCUUAUUAUAAUUCUAAUUUUCUGGACAUAUGAUGGUAAAAAAUCUGCUAUUUUUUUCGUCAUACAAUCAACUUCCAAAUGCCGUGUUCACUUUCGCCUACUUUCUGAUUCCAUCAAAUAGACUUUACUUUCUGAUUCCAUCAAAUAGACUUUAUGAUGCAGGGUAAGCAGCAGAAACCAAAUUUGCUCUUUCAGGAUAUCCACUCUCCUGUCCUCCCCAUUGGAUAGUCUCGUCAUCCUCGACAAUCUAAUCAACACUGCCGCCCUUAUCGAUGUAGUUGAGCCAGGAACAACGAGAGAGUAAUUGAGACGCCUACGUCAACUAGAGAAUGUCCCUGUUUCCUUGAGGAGGUAGGAAAUGUCAUUCUUCGUGUAUCACUUAUUUUCUAUUUUUCCUAUGUUUACUAAGUGUAUCAUACUUUGUAUUUUUUGUUGCUCUAUUAGAUAGCUUUUAUCUCUCAAAUUUUGAUUGUCACAAUUCUGAAUCCAAUAGAGAUCCAUUUGAAACCCAUCUUAUGAAACUGAGCUUUUCAGAAUAAACUGGUGUACGAUAAAUACUAAUUUAGUGGAUUAAUAGUUCGUGUUGAUGUUAAAUACUCACAAACUGAAAUCGUUUUCAUAGAACUUAAAAAGUUAAGUCGAUUUCUCUUCUUA